This 372-nucleotide ribosomal RNA is filed under the name uncultured bacterium. RNAcentral describes it as "bacterial SSU rRNA". It matches the Rfam family "Bacterial small subunit ribosomal RNA", at positions 790 to 1167 of the family's 1533-position model. The record is from RNAcentral.
GUAGUCCACGCCCUAAACGAUGUCUACUUGCUGUUGGGGGCAACCUCAGUAGCGAAGCUAACGCGAGAAGUAGACCGCCUGGGGAGUACGGUCGCAAGAUUAAAACUCAAAGGAAUUGACGGGGACCCGCACAAGCGGUGGAUGAUGUGGAUUAAUUCGAUGCAACGCGAAGAACCUUACCUGCUCUUGACAUGUUAGGAAGGCUUAAGAGAUUAGGCUGUGCCUUCGGGAACCUAAACACAGGUGCUGCAUGGCUGUCGUCAGCUCGUGUCGUGAGAUGUUGUCUUAAGUGACGCAACGAGCGCAACCCUUGCCACUAGUUGCCAUAAUUAAGUUUGGGACUCUAGUGGGACUGCUGGCAAAAUUGCCAGA